GCGCCCGUAGCUCAGCUGGAUAGAGUGACAGGCUACGAACCUGGAGGUCGGGGGUUCGAAUCCCUCCGGGCGCGCCA
RNAcentral lists this transfer RNA (77 nucleotides) under Firmicutes bacterium HGW-Firmicutes-15. Its description in RNAcentral is "tRNA-Arg". It matches the Rfam family "tRNA". Rfam says of the family: Transfer RNA (tRNA) molecules are approximately 80 nucleotides in length. The record is from RNAcentral. Lineage: Bacteria; Bacillati; Bacillota. RNAcentral also lists the same sequence under 2 other names.